GAUGAAGAACGUAGCGAAAUGCGAUAAGUAAUGUGAAUUGCAGAAUUCAGUGAAUCAUCGAAUCUUUGAACGCACAUUGCGCCCGCCAGUAUUCUGGCGGGCAUGCCUGUCUGAGCGUCAUUUCAACCCUCAUGCCCCUAGGGCGUGGUGUUGGGGAUCGGCCAAAGCCCGCGAGGGACGGCCGGCCCCUAAAUCUAGUGGCGGACCCGUCGUGGCCUCCUCUGCGAAGUAGCGAUAUUCCGCAUCGGAGAGCGACGAGCCCCUGCCGUUAAACCCCCAACUUUCCAAGGUUGACCUCAGAUCAGGUAGGAAUACCCGCUGAACUUAAGCAUAUCAAUAAGCGGAGGA
RNAcentral lists this unclassified non-coding RNA (348 nucleotides) under soil metagenome. RNAcentral's name for it is "partial contains 5.8S ribosomal RNA, internal transcribed spacer 2, and large subunit ribosomal RNA". The stretch from base 1 to 120 matches the Rfam family "5.8S ribosomal RNA", at positions 35 to 154 of the family's 154-position model. The record is from RNAcentral.